CAGCCGCCGCGGUAAUACGUAGGGUGCGAGCGUUAAUCGGAUUUACUGGGCGUAAAGCGUGCGCAGGCGGCCCGUUAAGACAGGUGUGAAAUCCCUGGGCUCAACCUAGGAAUUGCGCUUGUGACUGGCGGGCUCGAGUACGGUAGAGGGGGGUGGAAUUCCUGGUGUAGCAGUGAAAUGCGUAGAGAUCAGGAGGAACACCGAUGGCGAAGGCAGCCCCCUGGGCCUGUACUGACGCUCAUGCACGAAAGCGGGGGGAGCAAACAGGAUUAGAUACCCGGGUAGUCAACGCCCUAAACGAUGGGUACUAGCCGUUUGGUGCGCGAGAGCGCUGAGUGGCGAAGCUAACGCGUGAAGUACCCCGCCUGGGGAGUACGGCCGCAAGGUUGAAACUUAAAGGAAUUGGCGGG
Molecule: ribosomal RNA, 410 nt
Filed under: uncultured microorganism
Description: bacterial SSU rRNA
Rfam family: Bacterial small subunit ribosomal RNA
Source: RNAcentral